This 450-nucleotide ribosomal RNA is filed under the name uncultured bacterium. RNAcentral's name for it is "partial 16S ribosomal RNA". It matches the Rfam family "Bacterial small subunit ribosomal RNA", at positions 354 to 796 of the family's 1533-position model. The record is from RNAcentral.
GUGGGGAAUUUUGGACAAUGGGCGCAAGCCUGAUCCAGCAAUGCCGCGUGCAGGAAGAAGGCCUUCGGGUUGUAAACUGCUUUUGUACGGAACGAAACGGUCCGGGUUAAUACCCUGGGCUAAUGACGGUACCGUAAGAAUAAGCACCGGCUAACUACGUGCCAGCAGCCGCGGUAAUACGUAGGGUGCAAGCGUUAAUCGGAAUUACUGGGCGUAAAGCGUGCGCAGGCGGUUUUGUAAGACAGGCGUGAAAUCCCCGGGCUCAACCUGGGAAUUGCGCUUGUGACUGCAAGGCUGGAGUGCGGCAGAGGGGGAUGGAAUUCCGCGUGUAGCAGUGAAAUGCGUGGAUAUGCGGAGGAACACCGAUGGCGAAGGCAAUCCCCUGGGCCUGCACUGACGCUCAUGCACGAAAGCGUGGGGAGCAAACAGGAUUAGAUACCCUUGUAGUCC